RNAcentral lists this ribosomal RNA (460 nucleotides) under uncultured bacterium. Its description in RNAcentral is "partial 16S ribosomal RNA". It matches the Rfam family "Bacterial small subunit ribosomal RNA", at positions 338 to 795 of the family's 1533-position model. The record is from RNAcentral.
CCUACGGGAGGCAGCAGUGAGGAAUAUUGGUCAAUGGACGAGAGUCUGAACCAGCCAAGUAGCGUGAAGGAUGACUGCCCUAUGGGUUGUAAACUUCUUUUAUAAAGGAAUAAAACGAGGCACGUGUGCCUUUUUGCAUGUACUUUAUGAAUAAGGCUCGGCUAACUCCGUGCCAGCAGCCGCGGUAAUACGGAGGAUCCGAGCGUUAUCCGGAUUUAUUGGGUUUAACGGGAGCGUAGAUGGGUUGUUAAGUCAGUUGUGAAAGUUUGCGGCUCAACCGUAAAAUUGCAAUUGAUACUGGCAGUCUUGAGUACAGUUGAGGUAAGCGGAAUUCGUGGUGUAGCGGUGAAAUGCUUAGAUAUCACGAAGAACCCCGAUUGCGAAGGCAGCUUACUAAACUGUGACUGACAUUGAUGCUCGAAAGUGUGGGUAGCAAACAGGAUUAGAUACCCGGGUAGUC